RNAcentral lists this unclassified non-coding RNA (1261 nucleotides) under Hevea brasiliensis (rubber tree). The record is from RNAcentral. Lineage: Eukaryota; Viridiplantae; Streptophyta; Magnoliopsida; Malpighiales; Euphorbiaceae.
GGCUAUGCAAAUAGGGGUGUUACACUGAAGCUUACAUGAAUGGUAUUCUUAAGAAAGAUUUAACUUUUCACUAUCAGCUAAGCAUCCAUUCCAUAGGGGAAGGUGGAGGCCUCCAAUUCUAGAAUGGGUUUGUAGUUGAUGAUCCAUUCUAGCACAAGCUUUGGAUAUGUCUAUUUGCUGUCUUGAGUUAGGUGCAUCAUUCAGAUUAUAAUAUAUGUGCCUGCUAGUCAAUCUUGAUUUGCAUCAGAGCAAAAAAUAAAAAUUACUUGCUUUUUUUCACAAGUAAGGCAGCGUAGAAUUAUCCACAAAUAUUGUUCAAAAUUUUAGUUUUGUAGCAGUAAGCUCUCUGCCUCUCUAAGUCCCUUUUACAUUGAAAGUGGCCAUGCAUAUUUUUUUCUUUUAUCACCUGUGUUAAGGAUACUUGAUAAGAGCAUUGGGAAAAUCAUAGUUUUCCAUGUCACUGUGCUCUUGUUAUCUUAGGGCCUUGGUGGCCUGAAAUCUUUUAAGGCAUUUUCAUGUCACUGAGGCUAAGGGUACUGGACAAGGAUUUCAAUGACUUGAGAAUGACUUCACUCACUUUAACUGUUGGCAUUAAGUAUAGCUCUGUGGGAUACUCUUAACUUCUAGUAAUAACUUAAUUAUCAUGAAAGAUUUCUGAGGGGCUUCUCAUCUGAUUGGUUAAUCCUUCAUUAAUCUUUGAAAGCAUUAUGAUACUUUUUAACUGAUAAAUAUUGUAAAUAGUUCCUUCUCUUCAUUUCCUGAGGAACCUUGUCACUUGUCCAAAUUGAGUCGUGACUUUGCUCUCUUACAAUUCAAGGUCAGUUGGAAUUUGGAAGGGUGUCAUUUGCUUGUUUUAUGGUUAGUUUCCAUCUCCAUUGGAAUUUGGCAGUGCAUGAUUUUGUAUUAUAUAAGGACCAUUCCUAAACUUUCUACUGCCAGCUGUAUCUUUUUACAGGAAAAAAUUGCCUUAUUUUUGUUUUUGCUAAAAAAUGUGGGAUAUCUGUAUUUGUGAUCAAUAGGAACUUUGCUAUCAACUUUUCAACAUUUGAAAAAUGAUUUUAUCCUAGGAUAAAAUCUGCAUAUUUCUUCUCUAUUUUGCAUGUCACUGAUUGCAGCAUGAAAUCACCUCAUAGAAGCUUAUAAAGAUAGGCAAGAAGCUUUGAUUGUUCUUUUUAUUUACUUUUCAAAUGUUGACUUGUGGGUUUAAUCAAAUACGAUUGGCAGUCAGGCUAAUAUUCAUAUUAUGUAACUUAUUUUCAGG